This 335-nucleotide long non-coding RNA is filed under the name Fragaria vesca (wild strawberry). RNAcentral's name for it is "long non-coding RNA (FVES_LNC001124)". Lineage: Eukaryota; Viridiplantae; Streptophyta; Magnoliopsida; Rosales; Rosaceae. The record is from RNAcentral.
UCAGCUUCCACAUCAGCAAAUGAACUCACUCCUGUAUUUUUUUUUUUUUUUUUGGCGAGAGAACUCACUCCUGAUUGGCACACAGAAUUAUUCCCAGCUUCUGAUUGAUUCUGCUGACUAAAGUAAUUAGCGGAGUCAGCAUUCAGUGCAGGAUCCAAGAAAUCACCAUUCCCUCUCAUAUCUACGCGCGCCAGCAUACGGGCAUUUCUCACGCGCGCCUUAGCUAGCUCCGUCCAGAAAUCUCCAUUCUCCGCCGCAGACGGUGCUGCAAAAUCAUUGAAAUCCAAUUUUGGAUCCACACCGACCCGCAUAUCAUUAUUAUAAAACUCAUCAGC